Molecule: ribosomal RNA, 429 nt
Filed under: Gemmatimonadota bacterium
Lineage: Bacteria; Pseudomonadati; Gemmatimonadota
Description: Gemmatimonadetes bacterium partial 16S ribosomal RNA
Rfam family: Bacterial small subunit ribosomal RNA
Source: RNAcentral
UAGGGAAUCUUCGGCAAUGGACGAAAGUCUGACCGAGCAACGCCGCGUGGGUGAAGAAGGUUUUCGGAUCGUAAAACUCUGUUGUUAGAGAAGAACAAGGACGUUAGUAACUGAACGUCCCCUGACGGUAUCUAACCAGAAAGCCACGGCUAACUACGUGCCAGCAGCCGCGGUAAUACGUAGGUGGCAAGCGUUGUCCGGAUUUAUUGGGCGUAAAGCGAGCGCAGGCGGUUUCUUAAGUCUGAUGUGAAAGCCCCCGGCUCAACCGGGGAGGGUCAUUGGAAACUGGGAGACUUGAGUGCAGAAGAGGAGAGUGGAAUUCCAUGUGUAGCGGUGAAAUGCGUAGAUAUAUGGAGGAACACCAGUGGCGAAGGCGGCUCUCUGGUCUGUAACUGACGCUGAGGCUCGAAAGCGUGGGGAGCAAACAGG